AAACCAAACAAUACGGUCUGGAAAAAUCGACAUGGAAUAUGUAAGACACGUCGCACAAACCAUCUGAACUGCUUAAAAGCUAUAUGUUAAAAAAUAGCGUGUUUAUGUACUGACAACUGAAAAUGGAAAACCAAUUAGAGAUGACUUGACGUAUCUCAGAUAACUAUAAAGAUGUACAAUUUUCUCCUUCGAUUUGUUGAUGGUGGGAAAAUGCACAUGCGUCCGUACUUUCUGUCAAGUGACAUCAAUGUCUUUGAGAAAUCAAAGGAGCUUUCUUAAACAAAACAUUCAUUUUUCAUUUACAAAGAGAAUUUAGUUUGAGCUCGUUGCUCGGCAUACUAAAAUCUUAAAUUUCCGAAAGAAUGUUAGCUGCUAAAAUAUUUAAAUUUGAGCAAUUAAAUCACUAGCAUUUUUUGAUUAGUUAUGUUUAAAAAAAAAGAAAGCAAAUCAAGGGACUUCUUUUGAUAAUAUGUCCUCACAAUGCCAUCCAUGCACGCCAAGUCAACAAAUUAAAACCUGUUUAUACAUAUUGGUAGUGGAAAAGUUAUCAAGAC
Molecule: long non-coding RNA, 554 nt
Filed under: Mytilus galloprovincialis (Mediterranean mussel)
Lineage: Eukaryota; Metazoa; Mollusca; Bivalvia; Mytilida; Mytilidae
Source: RNAcentral